Molecule: ribosomal RNA, 450 nt
Filed under: uncultured bacterium
Lineage: Bacteria
Description: bacterial SSU rRNA
Rfam family: Bacterial small subunit ribosomal RNA
Source: RNAcentral
GAUGAACGCUGGCGGCGUGCUUAACACAUGCAAGUCGAGCGAAGCGCUUUUGCGGAUUUCUUCGGAUUGAAGCAACUGUGACUGAGCGGCGGACGGGUGAGUAACGCGUGGGUAACCUGCCUCAUACAGGGGGAUAACAGUUGGAAACGGCUGCUAAUACCGCAUAAGCGCACAGUACCGCAUGGUACCGUGUGAAAAACUCCGGUGGUAUGAGAUGGACCCGCGUCUGAUUAGCUAGUUGGUGGGGUAACGGCCUACCAAGGCGACGAUCAGUAGCCGACCUGAGAGGGUGACCGGCCACAUUGGGACUGAGACACGGCCCAAACUCCUACGGGAGGCAGCAGUGGGGAAUAUUGCACAAUGGGGGAAACCCUGAUGCAGCGACGCCGCGUGAGCGAUGAAGUAUUUCGGUAUGUAAAGCUCUAUCAGCAGGGAAGAAAAUGACGGUAC